Molecule: unclassified non-coding RNA, 358 nt
Filed under: soil metagenome
Description: partial contains 5.8S ribosomal RNA, internal transcribed spacer 2, and large subunit ribosomal RNA
Rfam family: 5.8S ribosomal RNA (bases 1-120)
Source: RNAcentral
GAUGAAGAACGCAGCGAAAUGCGAUAAGUAAUGUGAAUUGCAGAAUUCAGUGAAUCAUCGAAUCUUUGAACGCACAUUGCGCCCGUCAGUAUUCUGGCGGGCAUGCCUGUUCGAGCGUCAUUACGCCCCUCAAGUCCCCUGUGGACUUGGUGUUGGGGAUCGGCGAGGCUGGUUUUCCAGCACAGCCGUCCCUUAAAUUAAUAGGCGGUCUCGCCGUGGCCCUCCUCUGCGCAGUAGUAAAACACUCGCAACAGGAGCCCGGCGCGGUCCACUGCCGUAAAACCCCCCAACUUUUUAUAGUUGACCUCGAAUCAGGUAGGACUACCCGCUGAACUUAAGCAUAUCAAUAAGCGGAGGA